GACGAACGCUGGCGGCGUGCUUAACACAUGCAAGUCGAACGGAAAGGCCCUGCUUUUGUGGGGUGCUCGAGUGGCGAACGGGUGAGUAACACGUGAGUAACCUGCCCUUGACUUUGGGAUAACUUCAGGAAACUGGGGCUAAUACCGGAUAGGAGCUCCUGCUGCAUGUUGGGGGUUGGAAAGUUUCGGCGGUUGGGGAUGGACUCGCGGCUUAUCAGCUUGUUGAGGGGGUAGUGGCUUACCAAGGCUUUGACGGGUAGCCGGCCUGAGAGGGUGACCGGCCACAUUGGGACUGAGAGACGGCCCAGACUCCUACGGGAGGCAGAAGUGGGGAAUAUUGCACAAUGGGCGGAAGCCUGAUGCAGCAACGCCGCGUGCGGGAUGACGGCCUUCGGGUUGUAAACCGCUUUCGCCUGUGACGAAGCGUGAGUGACGGUAAUGGGUAAAGAAGCACCGGCUAACUACGUG
Molecule: ribosomal RNA, 468 nt
Filed under: uncultured bacterium
Lineage: Bacteria
Description: partial 16S ribosomal RNA
Rfam family: Bacterial small subunit ribosomal RNA
Source: RNAcentral